GGCGAACGGGUUGAGUAACGCAUCGGAACGUGCCCAACAGUUGGGGGAUAGCCCGGCGAAAGCCGGAUUAAUACCGCAUACGACCUGAGGGUGAAAGCGGGGGAUCGCAAGACCUCGCGCUGAUGGAGCGGCCGAUGUCAGAUUAGGUAGUUGGUGGGGUAAAGGCCUACCAAGCCGACGAUCUGUAGCUGGUCUGAGAGGACGACCAGCCACACUGGGACUGAGACACGGCCCA
This 235-nucleotide ribosomal RNA is filed under the name uncultured Azohydromonas sp. RNAcentral describes it as "partial 16S ribosomal RNA". It matches the Rfam family "Bacterial small subunit ribosomal RNA", at positions 97 to 333 of the family's 1533-position model. Lineage: Bacteria; Pseudomonadati; Pseudomonadota; Betaproteobacteria; Burkholderiales; Sphaerotilaceae. The record is from RNAcentral.